Molecule: long non-coding RNA, 1226 nt
Filed under: Marmota monax (woodchuck)
Lineage: Eukaryota; Metazoa; Chordata; Mammalia; Rodentia; Sciuridae
Source: RNAcentral
CCCCGCGCUCCGGACGUCUCGGGAGGCCGUUUGGGUCCGUUAGUUGACGCGCCCAGCGAGCUCAGCGCAGGCCCUGCGCGGCCUUGCUCCGGGCGCUGGGGCGACCCAGUGAGGCUGGAGAGCAGUGGACAGGUGCGGGAGUGGCCCGGGGAGCCAAAGGAGUGGCGGUGCAGAGAGGGUGUUUUCAAGGUCGGAAAGUCGUUGGGGCGGCCCAUUAGUUUCAGUGGAGAAAUGUGGCAACCUGUUGUCAGGUGAUACGCGGGAACAUCACUCGUGAAGGGCAGAUGGACAUCCUGUGCCCCUGGGUAUGAUGCCCUGAGGAGGACACCACCUCCGGCACCCGGUGGAACGCAGAACCUGUGUCUAUCUGGAGGAAAUUGCCGAAAUAUGAACAUUGUACCCAAGUGGCGAGGAACUGCGUUUUCAGAGCUGUUGGUGCCAGAGAAGAUAAGCCGUGGCUGAGCCUAGACCCGGACCCAGCAGAGGAGCAGAGAGUGACACAACAGACGUCGUUGAGUGUGUUCACAGGAGUAGAUGAAAGGAUUGGAUCAACGUGAAGUUUACUGAAAUCAAUGGCAGUUCUGUGUUUCUGUAGGAGAACAUUCUUACUUAAAAAUUCACACUGAUUCUGGGCGAGGGGCACACGCCUGUAAUCCCAGUGGCUUGGAAAAUUGAGGCAGGAGGAUCCAGAGUUCAAAGCCAGCCUCAGCAACUUAGAGAGGCACUUAGCAACUCAGUGAGAAUCUUUCUCUAAAUAAAAUACAAAAAAGGUCUGGGGAUUUGCCUCAGGGGUUAAGUGCUCUUGAGUUCAAUCCUCUGUACAAAAAAAAAAAAUAAUUUACACUGACCUAUUUAGAGUAUAUGCAACUUAUUGCCAAAUAGUUCAGAAAAGCAUGUUCUUAAGGCUGGGGUUGUGGCUCAGUGGUAGACUGCUUGCUGAGCACGCAUGAGGCACUGGGUUCGAUCCCCAGCACCACAUAAAAAUUUAAAAAAAAAAAAAAGCAUGUUAUCAUCUACAAUCAGUGAUAACAACAAUGGGGGCAAAAUACCAAUAUCUGGAUCUGGAAAUGGGUAUGUUAGUUAUUCUGUAAGCAUGAAAUGAUCUUCAAAUAAAAAGCAAAAGAAAUAAAGCAGAAAAUAAAGACCACUUGAGGUUUGAACUGAGACCUUGGGAGAACUUGGCCAGCUGUGGGUGGGGGUGGGGGUCCCAGCAGUUGGUCAGCCAA